CUCAGCCACCAAGCCAGUACUCAGCCACCAAGGAAUCAAAAGGCCAUACGUGACUUCACCUGAUUUCCCCAUAUCUCGAAUUUUCCUAUGGUUUUCUACUUCAAAUGCUGUUCAUAACGAUACUAUUACUAUGAUCAGUGGCAUUAAGAAUGUUAUUAUAUUGUUGAAAUAUUAAUAGCGAUUUCCUGCUUCCUUCAAAAUCCUCGUCCCUGUGAGAACCACACAACAACACACACUUUCUUCUUUGUCUCGUUCGCCUUCCGUUUCGCAGUAUUUCUGUUAUCUUGCAAUGUUGUGAAGAAUGCAAGCAGCCCUGAUGAGCUUCCCGUUUGUUUCAACAUGCCUGUCCAGGAGCUGCAUUCGCCGGAAUCGCGACUUGAAAACUGUCAUGGCAUUGGCCGACAAUUUCUGAGCUUCGUUGUGAUUCUCAUUGAACAGCGCUUCCUGAGUGUCAGAAAAAUAAAAUGUAUGUACUCAUAUCUA
Penaeus monodon (black tiger shrimp) is the source of this 483-nucleotide long non-coding RNA. RefSeq lists it as uncharacterized. The record is from RefSeq and is a predicted model, not a curated record. NCBI's taxonomy places the organism in Eukaryota, Metazoa, Arthropoda, Malacostraca, Decapoda, Penaeidae. The transcript has 2 exons.